RNAcentral lists this ribosomal RNA (468 nucleotides) under uncultured bacterium. RNAcentral's name for it is "partial 16S ribosomal RNA". It matches the Rfam family "Bacterial small subunit ribosomal RNA", at positions 28 to 507 of the family's 1533-position model. The record is from RNAcentral.
GACGAACGCUGGCGGCGUGCUUAACACAUGCAAGUCGAACGGAAAGGCCCUGCUUUUGUGGGGUGCUCGAGUGGCGAACGGGUGAGUAACACGUGAGUAACCUGCCCUUGACUUUGGGAUAACUUCAGGAAACUGGGGCUAAUACCGGAUAGGAGCUCCUGCUGCAUGGUGGGGGUUGGAAAGUUUCGGCGGUUGGGGAUGGACUCGCGGCUUAUCAGCUUGUUGGUGGGGUAGUGGCUUACCAAGGCUUUGACGGGUAGCCGGCCUGAGAGGGUGACCGGCCACAUUGGGACUGAGAUACGGCACAGACUACUACGGGACGCAGGAGUGGGGAAUAUUGCACAAUGGGAGGAAGCCUGAUGCAGCAACGCCGCGUGCGGGAUGACGGCCUUCGGGUUGUAAACCGCUUUCGCCUGUGACGAAGCGUGAGUGACGGUAAUGGGUAAAGAAGCACCGGCUAACUACGUG